CCACUAUUGCACAGCUCUUCGAUGCAUUAUCCCCCUCUACACUUUCUACAGAAUAGAAAACUUAAUUUUUUAAUCUUUCUUGUCAUCACAAUGCAGACCUCUGACCUACAGACACAGCCAAAGCCAUUUGUUUCUCUGCUGCUUCUGUUGCAGUGUGCCAAAGACCUCUUCUCUAUAUCGCUUUUUAGGCACUGCAGCAAAGAUGCUGAUGUCUAGGCAUAACUGAAUUUUGCUGCCCAGAAGGAUCCUGAAAGAUCCGGAUCUAAAGACAGCCUGGAACUGGUUGCUCCUGAGUGAUGAGCAAUGGAGAGGCCAGUUACUCCUGCUGCCAUGCUGGAGUUGGAAAGGGUGGUGACAGCACGUAGUGUUUUUAUGAGUGACCGUCCAUUUCCUGGACUACACCAUAGCCAAGGAGGCAGCGGAGCCACAGGUUUGCCAGAGCAAGCCCUGCAUUCCUAACAGACCUUGGGAAGGAACUAUUCACUUAAAUUCUUUGGAAAUUCCACCUGAAUUCUAGCAAAACUGGAUCCAUGUUCCUGCUCUUUGUAUGCACUUGCCAAUUAUCUCAUAUAUUAGCAAAGGAAGCCUUGUUCUGUUGGCAUUUUGGGUGGUGGUGAUUUAUUCUAAAGCAAGUACCAUGUUCAGUUCUGUGCUAUUUCCUGAAUUGUGCUAUUUCCUGAACUCAAGCGUGUUUCAUACUCUGUGGUACCAUCCCCUUUUAUUACUGCUUAUAUGAGUGUUACUGGAUUAAUGUACAUUUGAGGAUCUCUGUCACGUUAGCUGUGGCACCUCAGCAUAGAAAACCACCCGGAAAACUAAAAACAAGUUUCUGCUUCCCCUUCCACCACUAAAGAAGUGUUAGUUAGUUGGUUGGUUAGUUAGUUAGUGAAGAAGUGUUAGACUAAAGAGUGCUUGGGAUUUCUUCACAGAUACUCAAAAAUGUUCAUUGUAGACCAAAUUCAAAUGAAAGGCAGUGAUUUGAAGUGAAAACUGAACACUGGCUGUUGUUCAGAGGCCAUUAAACAUAGGAUUUAUUAUCAGAAGUUCCAGUGCUAUUGAGCAAUGCUUUGUUCACAGUAGUUUUGAAUCAUGAUACACUGGAUAUCUGACUACUGACUGACCAGCUAAGGGACAGCUAAGGGACAUCUAAAGCCUCCUGUAAAUUAGGCUGAAGUCCCAGCAAAAUCAGGCUGAAGUCUCAGUUCAAUGCUGCAAAUUAGGCUGAAGUCCUUGUUCAAUGUUGCAAGAUGACAUGCCUGACAACUGGCCAACCUAGGGAGGGGCAGCCACUUUGAGAAAGACAUUUUUAUACUGCCCACUCCUUUUUCUUUGGUUUUAUUCACUUUACAUUAGCUUCUUUUUCUUCUGUAAAUAUGUGCAUCUGAAUAUCACUAAAAUCAGCGUGGGUCAAACCUGGUGAGCUGAACCUGAACAGUUAACGUCAGGUAUUUGAUACCCUCUUGGGUGCUUCCAGCAAGAAAUUAAUUUUUCUGCCUGCAGUCUCCUGUUGAACUGCUGUCCUCCAUUCUACUGACUCUUCAGCUGCAUCUUGACAGUGUAUCUUUCCUCAGUUCUAGCUCUCAACUUGCAUCAGUGCAGAGUUGUAAAUAUGUGUGUUAUCUAGUCAAGAAGAGUGAAAACCUGUAUACCACAUGCCAAGGCUUGAGGAAGAAUAAAAUGCAUACUGUCUGGAGACUUGUUUUCCAACCUCUAAAUGCCUUUUUUUUUUUCCCUAUCUUGAGAAAAAAGCACAACUCGUAGAAACUUAGUGAAGUAAAUUAACACCAAUUCCAUUGCGUUUCACUGCACUUAGAUCCAGAUGCAUCAACAUUGCUUUUGGAUGUCAUAGUUGUCAUAAGUAUUAUAAAGAAUGCUAUCACAAAGAUUUCUGUGGGUCUAGGGCACACAAUACGCAGUAAAUCACUACUUCUCUUAGCAGUCACUAUAGUAAUAGUAACCAUACUGAAUUCCUGUACGAUUCCUAAGGACAGAAUAUUCUAAUCGUCAGUUCAGAUGAAAGAACUCAUAUAGAUAGACAUUCAAAAUGAAAGUCAUUACUACCAAAAAUGCGAUUUAUCGUAAAUUGCUAUGUAUAUAUGACUGCUUACAAAACUUUAAAUGCAUCUCUCUGGGGUCAAGGUAAAAGAAAAUAACCAUAUGCAAUUGUUGGAAAAAUAAGCUGUUAAAAGCAUUUCUUACUGCUUUUUUCUUGAAGAUGAACCUUCUAAAUUACCAUGGAUCCAACAAAGCUAUACAAAAACAUAUAGCUCCUUAAUAUGAUAUUCAGUGUCUUUCCUGUUGUGCUUUUUGAGUCU
Molecule: long non-coding RNA, 2315 nt
Organism: Pygoscelis adeliae (Adelie penguin)
Lineage: Eukaryota; Metazoa; Chordata; Aves; Sphenisciformes; Spheniscidae
Exons: 3
Source: RefSeq, a predicted model, not a curated record